UGGCGCAUCGACGCCACGGGUUACAGUUCACAUAACAUCUUUCUCACCUACCGUUACCAAUACUCUAUUACCGACGUUGGUAACGAGGAGUUCACUUAUGGUUCUAAAUUCAGGAUUUCGCCAGUAGAAGGGGCAAACUGCAGUGUGAUCACCAAGGAAAUGUUCCCCAGAGGUCGGUUUAGCAGUCAAGAUAAAGCCAUAAUGGAUAACGGACCCCCAGUGACAGAACCACAGGGCGUGUCCGAAUGGCGAUACUGGAUGAUGACAAUCACCCAGAAGACUAUGGCCUCUUCUUCGGAUGCCGUGGAAGG
Long non-coding RNA from Mya arenaria, 311 nucleotides. RefSeq lists it as uncharacterized. The record is from RefSeq and is a predicted model, not a curated record. NCBI's taxonomy places the organism in Eukaryota, Metazoa, Mollusca, Bivalvia, Myida, Myidae. The transcript has 3 exons.